ACGAGAAUAUUCCGCAAUGGACGAAAGUCUGACGGAGCGACGCCGCGUGAUCGAUGAAGUGCUUCGGUACGUAAAGAUCUUUUUAUCGGGGACGAAGUUUAUUGACGGUACCCGAUGAAUAAGGAGCUCCUAACUCUGUGCCAGCAGGAGCGGUAAUACAGAGGCUCCAAGCAUUACCCGGAAUCAUUGGGCGUAAAGGGUGUCUAGGCGGCCAUAUUAGUCUCUCGUUAAAUCCGCGGGCUUAACCUGCGGUCUGCGAGGGAAACGGUAUGGCUCGAGGGCGUGAGAGGUGCAUGGAACUCAUGGUGGAGGGGUGAAAUCCGUUGAUAUCGUGGGGAACACCAAAGGCGAAGGCAGCGCACUGGCCAAAAUCUGACGCUCACACACGAAAAGCUAGGGUAGCGAAGAGGAUUAGAUACCCAGGUAGUCCCUGAGCGGGCUGGCAAGGCGCAU
RNAcentral lists this ribosomal RNA (453 nucleotides) under uncultured bacterium. RNAcentral describes it as "bacterial SSU rRNA". It matches the Rfam family "Bacterial small subunit ribosomal RNA", at positions 355 to 825 of the family's 1533-position model. The record is from RNAcentral.